ACCAGCAGCCAUAUCACCCUGCAACUCAGAACUGGCAACUGGCAACUGACUGAAGCUAAGCAGGUAUGAGCCUCAUCAGUACCUGGAUGGGAGACCUCCUGGGAAAAACUAAGGUUGCCGCUGGAA
RNAcentral lists this ribosomal RNA (126 nucleotides) under Lepisosteus oculatus (spotted gar). The record is from RNAcentral. Lineage: Eukaryota; Metazoa; Chordata; Actinopteri; Semionotiformes; Lepisosteidae.